CUCAUGGUUUCACGGUAUUGCAAUGAGAACAAUUUAAAACCCUUAGCGAGAAUCAAGUGGAGGACAAGUCUGGUGCCAGCACCCGCGGUAAUUCCAGCUCCACUAGCGUAUAUUAAAGUUGUUGCAGUUAAAAAGCUCGCAGUUGAACCUCUGUCUGGGGCUAGUUUUGGCUUUGGUCAGGCUAGUUCUAGGCAUCCGCCUACAAGACUUAGAGGGCAUUCAGUUGUUCACUAGGAGGAGUAGGCAUUUUACUUUGAAAAAAUUAGAGUGUUUAAGGCAGGCAAUCGCCCGCAUAUAUUAGCAUGGAAUAAUAGAAUAGGACACUUUUCCAUUUCGUUGGUUAUUGGAAUCGUGUAAUGAUUAAUAGGGACAGUUGUGGGCAUUUGUAUUUAAUUGUCAGAGGUGAAAUUCUUGGAUUUAUUAAAGACAAACUAACGCGAAAGCAUUUGCCAAGGAUGUUUUCAUUAAUCAAGUACGAAAGUUAGGGGAUCAAAGACGAUCAGAUACCGUCCUAGUCUUAACUAUAAACUAUUCCGACUCAAUGUUUGACUGGCUUAUAUAACCAGUUGAGCGUUGUAUGAGAAAUCAAAGUCUUUAGGUUCUGGGGGGAGUAUGGUUGCAAAGCUGAAACUCAAAGGAAUUGACGGAAGAGCACAACCAGGAGUGGAUUCUGCGGCUUAAUUUGACUCAACACGGGGAAACUUACCAGGUUAAAACAAUAGUGGGAUUACAGUUUGAGAGCGCUUUCUUGAUUGGUUGGGUGGUGGUGCAUGGCCGUUCUUAGUUGGUGGAGUGAUUUGUCUGCUUAAUUGCGUUAACGAACGAGACCUUAACCUGCUUACUAGACUGGCGAUCAUCAAUCGUUAGCUCUUCUUAGAGGGACUUUGGUUGUUUUAACUCCAAGGAAGUUUGAGGCAAUAACAGGUCUGUGAUGCCCUUAGAUAUCCUGGGCCGCACGCGUCAUACAAUGACUAGUUCAGAAAGUUUUCUCCUGACCCGAAAGGGGAUGGGUAAUCUUGAUAAUACCAGUCGUGUUAGGGAUCGAUCUUUGCAAUUAUAGAUCUUGAACGAGGAAUUCCUAGUAAGUGCGGUUCAUCAGACCGUACUGAUUACGUUCCUGCUCUUUGUACACACCGCCCGUCGCUUCUACCGAGUGGGUGGUCCGGUGAGAUAAUUGAACUUCGCAGGUAACUGAGAGGAAAGAUUAUCAAACCUAUCCACCU
Molecule: ribosomal RNA, 1223 nt
Filed under: metagenome
Description: SSU rRNA
Rfam family: Eukaryotic small subunit ribosomal RNA
Source: RNAcentral